CCUACGGGAGGCAGCAGUGGGGAAUAUUGCGCAAUGGGCGAAAGCCUGACGCAGCGACGCCGCGUGAGGGACGACGGCCUUCGGGUUGUAAACCUCUUUCAGCAGGGAAGAAGCGAAAGUGACGGUACCUGCAGAAGAAGCACCGGCUAACUACGUGCCAGCAGCCGCGGUAAUACGUAGGGUGCAAGCGUUGUCCGGAAUUAUUGGGCGUAAAGAGCUCGUAGGCGGUCUGUCGCGUCGGAUGUGAAAACCCAGGGCUCAACCCUGGGCCUGCAUUCGAUACGGGCAGACUAGAGUUCGGUAGGGGAGACUGGAAUUCCUGGUGUAGCGGUGAAAUGCGCAGAUAUCAGGAGGAACACCGGUGGCGAAGGCGGGUCUCUGGGCCGAAACUGACGCUGAGGAGCGAAAGCGUGGGGAGCGAACAGGAUUAGAUACCCUAG
RNAcentral lists this ribosomal RNA (440 nucleotides) under uncultured bacterium. Its description in RNAcentral is "bacterial SSU rRNA". It matches the Rfam family "Bacterial small subunit ribosomal RNA", at positions 338 to 790 of the family's 1533-position model. The record is from RNAcentral.